UGGGGAAUAUUGGACAAUGGGCGCAAGCCUGAUCCAGCCAUGCCGCGUGAGUGAUGAAGGCCCUAGGGUUGUAAAGCUCUUUCACCGGUGAAGAUAAUGACGGUAACCGGAGAAGAAGCCCCGGCUAACUUCGUGCCAGCAGCCGCGGUAAUACGAAGGGGGCUAGCGUUGUUCGGAUUUACUGGGCGUAAAGCGCACGUAGGUGGACUAUUAAGUCAGGGGUGAAAUCCCGGGGCUCAACCCCGGAACUGCCUUUGAUACUGGUAGUCUUGAGUUCGAGAGAGGUGAGUGGAAUUCCGAGUGUAGAGGUGAAAUUCGUAGAUAUUCGGAGGAACACCAGUGGCGAAGGCGGCUCACUGGCUCGAUACUGACGCUGAGGUGCGAAAGCGUGGGGAGCAAACAGG
RNAcentral lists this ribosomal RNA (404 nucleotides) under Actinomycetes bacterium. RNAcentral's name for it is "Actinobacteria bacterium partial 16S ribosomal RNA". It matches the Rfam family "Bacterial small subunit ribosomal RNA", at positions 355 to 776 of the family's 1533-position model. Lineage: Bacteria; Bacillati; Actinomycetota; Actinomycetes. The record is from RNAcentral.